RNAcentral lists this ribosomal RNA (428 nucleotides) under Bacteroidota bacterium. RNAcentral's name for it is "Bacteroidetes bacterium partial 16S ribosomal RNA". It matches the Rfam family "Bacterial small subunit ribosomal RNA", at positions 355 to 776 of the family's 1533-position model. Lineage: Bacteria; Pseudomonadati; Bacteroidota. The record is from RNAcentral.
UAGGGAAUCUUCGGCAAUGGGGGAACCCUGACCGAGCAACGCCGCCUGAGUGAAGAAGGUUUUCGGAUCGUAAAGCCCCGUUGUUAAGGAAGAACGAGUGUGAGAAUGGAAAGUUCAUACUGUGACGGUACUUAACCAGAAAGGGACGGCUAACUACGUGCCAGCAGCCGCGGUAAUACGUAGGUCCCGAGCGUUGUCCGGAUUUAUUGGGCGUAAAGCGAGCGCAGGCGGUUAGAUAAGUCUGAAGUUAAAGGCAGUGGCUCAACCAUUGUAGGCUUUGGAAACUGUUUAACGUGAGUGCAGAAGGGGAGAGUGGAAUUCCAUGUGUAGCGGUGAAAUGCGUAGAUAUAUGGAGGAACACCGGUGGCGAAAGCGGCUCUCUGGUCUGUAACUGACGCUGAGGCUAGAAAGCGUGGGUAGCAAACAGG